Non-coding RNA from Cutaneotrichosporon oleaginosum, 90 nucleotides. The record is from the annotation of a RefSeq genome assembly. Lineage: Eukaryota; Fungi; Basidiomycota; Tremellomycetes; Trichosporonales; Trichosporonaceae.
AUCGCUAUAGCUUAGUGGAAGAGCGCGAGGCUCAUAUGGGUAGUUCCAUACGACACCUCGAGGUCCCAAGAUCGAGACUUGGUGGCGAUA